Molecule: long non-coding RNA, 385 nt
Filed under: Pan troglodytes (chimpanzee)
Lineage: Eukaryota; Metazoa; Chordata; Mammalia; Primates; Hominidae
Description: long non-coding RNA NONPTRT012653
Source: RNAcentral
UAAAGCUUGCAUGUCCAAGUAUUCUGCAGGGUGCAUCUAUUAUUAUCCAUCAUUCCACUAUACUCACAAUCCUUCACAAGCAGAAAAGUUACAAAAAGACCUAAAACGGUAUCUCACAAGAAAAAUUGGAUUUGAAGCUGUUAUGAGAAUAAGGUGUACUAAAGGUCUUUCAAUGCACACUUUUCACGGUAACUUCUUUGUCCGUUCUACUGAUUUGUUAUCCCUUGCCAACAUCAAUCCUGAUGCUGGAUUUGCGGUGCAGUUGUCAAUUGAAGAAAGUUUAACAGAUACUUCCUUAGUAUGUUUUCAGACAGCCCUAUUAUAUACAUCAAGCAAAGGUAAUGUUAACAGAAAUGAAAUAUAGUCUGCAGCAGUAAUUCCUCCC